Hemicordylus capensis (graceful crag lizard) is the source of this 1334-nucleotide RNA transcript. RefSeq lists it as uncharacterized. The record is from RefSeq and is a predicted model, not a curated record. NCBI's taxonomy places the organism in Eukaryota, Metazoa, Chordata, Lepidosauria, Squamata, Cordylidae. The transcript has 4 exons.
GGGCCCUGGGGCUGUGCAGGUGGGCAGUGGGGUGGGGGUGGCAGGAACUGGCGUGGUGCCCCCACCUCAGUGGUGCCUAGGUCACGUGCCCUGCCUGCCCCCUCCCCCCAGUUCCACCUAUGAUUACCUGCUGUGGCAUGUUUAAAGAGAUUUUUGUGGAUAAAAUUUCUCAUAUUCAGGCCGACUUGGAUUUAGGCCCCACAAUUGCUGCAGUGUAUGAAUCGGAGGUGUCCAGCAACUCUUAUGUGGUCAGGCAGGGUCAGUUCCAGUUUGUGAUUCAUGAGGAUUUGGGCAAGCUUCUUGGAAGAGUGCAGCCUACCACCUGCUCUCUUGACCAUUGCCCAACAUGGCUUAUACUAUCUUCCAGGGGGGCUGUUGUAGAAGGCCUAGUAGAGAUCAUAAAUUUUUCUCUGAGGGAGGGCAGGGUGCCUCCUUGCCUUAAGGAGACAAUUAUUAGACCUCUUUUGAAGAAGCCUACAUUGGAUCCCUCAGAGAUGAUCGGAACAAAGAGGCAAGGAAGAAUUACAUAAUUUAGAAAGUGAACUACAACUACAGAACCUCAGACAGAUGCCCAUGCUCUGGAAGCUGCAGACUAUUUUCAGUUACAGUUUUGUGAUGCAAAUGUUACUGUAUUCAAUUACUUCUGAAAGGCAGCAAGAACAAUGUGGCAGAGGUCCUUGGUCAUGCAAGGUGGCAGCAGGCUGGCAAGGGGAUACUGUAUGUGAGGCAACAACGUGGAGGGAGACCUUGCAAAAGUAUGUCAGGCAGUGGCGAGUUGGCAGGGGACUUGCAAGGGGGAUCCGUCGUCACUAGAGAUGCUCUCACCAGCCGCCACUCCUUGCCUGCUCCAUCGGCCGCCAUAGCAGGUUCCUGCAGGGUCUGCAUGCCGUAGCCUUGGAAUCCAGCAGAGGAAAGCAGUUCGCAUCCCGGCUUGCCUGUGCAAGGCAAAAGGUUACUGGCAGGAGGAGUCCUUUCGUUAGCAUCGCAAUGCAUUCUUGCUUCUCUCUUUCAGGCUUUAAAAAAUGAUGUUUUUAUGAUGCCUUUUAUAAAUAUUUUAUCAAUAUUUGUAGCCUUUUUUAACUGCAAUUUUCAGAUCUUGGCCACUAAAAGUCUGUUAGUCUGUGGCUUUGGUUUGUUUUAGAUAGUCAUAGUUUCAUUUUAAAAUUUUACUCCUUCUUUUGAUUCUUAUAUUUUAUCAUAGUCUUUCAUUAUAUGCUUAUAUUGUGCACCCCUAAGCUUUUAAUAUUUACUUUUACUUUUAAUAUGUAAUAUGUAAUCAUCCCGUAUACUUUAUGCUGGUCUAUGGCCAUAAUAAAGAUUGAUUGAUUGAUUGA